This 330-nucleotide long non-coding RNA is filed under the name Elaeis guineensis (African oil palm). RNAcentral describes it as "long non-coding RNA (EGUI_LNC010551)". The record is from RNAcentral. Lineage: Eukaryota; Viridiplantae; Streptophyta; Magnoliopsida; Arecales; Arecaceae.
UGGUUGGAGUAGAUUCUGGUACAGUCGGUGCAUCUCCUUUGUUCGAUGUGGUGGUCUCCUUAGCAGCUUCUUCUUCCAAACUAAGAGGAAUGAUACUGCUCAAAUUCAAGUUCGGAUAUAAUUUUUUGACCGCAUCUCUGUCGUCUUCGUAUCCAAUACGAUAGGAGGUGAAUCCACCCUCAAGAAUUUCAUCCUUGCACUCUUGUGACUCUUUGAAAUUCUCGAUGGUUAGAUUCAGAGCACCUCUCACUGAUUUUGCUUCUUCUUUGAUAGAAGCCGACUCUGUAUCGGCCAGUGCCAACUUCUCUUCGAUGGCUCGAUGCCUCUCAU